Myotis brandtii (Brandt's bat) is the source of this 97-nucleotide non-coding RNA. NCBI's taxonomy places the organism in Eukaryota, Metazoa, Chordata, Mammalia, Chiroptera, Vespertilionidae. The record is from Rfam.
CCGAGGGCACCCGACUUGGGGCCCUUGGAAGCAUCAGAAGCUCUCCCACGUGGGAGACAAGACAGCCCUGUUUAAUAUUUAAACAGCAGUGUUCGCC